CAUGCAAGUCGAACGAGAAAGUGGGGGCAACUCCAUGAGUACAGUGGCAGACGGGUGAGUAACACGUGAACAACCUGCCCUUGAGUGUGGAAUAACACCGCGAAAGCGGUGCUAAUACCGCAUGACAUCUCCGGGCCGCAUGACCUGGAGAUCAAAAGCGAAAGCUGCUCGAGGAGGGGUUCGCGCCUGAUUAGCUAGUUGGUGAGGUAACGGCCCACCAAGGCUGCGAUCAGUAGCCGGCCUGAGAGGGCGAACGGCCACACUGGAACUGAGACACGGUCCAGACUCCUACGGGAGGCAGCAGUGGGGAAUUUUGCGCAAUGGGCGAAAGCCUGACGCAGCAACGCCGCGUGGAGGAUGAAGGUCUUCGGAUCGUAAACUCCUGUCAGUGGGGACGAAUGCCUCGCAAGGGGUUUGACUG
This 421-nucleotide ribosomal RNA is filed under the name uncultured bacterium. RNAcentral describes it as "bacterial SSU rRNA". It matches the Rfam family "Bacterial small subunit ribosomal RNA", at positions 54 to 475 of the family's 1533-position model. The record is from RNAcentral.